Long non-coding RNA from Dendroctonus ponderosae (mountain pine beetle), 768 nucleotides. RefSeq lists it as uncharacterized. The transcript has 3 exons. The record is from RefSeq and is a predicted model, not a curated record. Lineage: Eukaryota; Metazoa; Arthropoda; Insecta; Coleoptera; Curculionidae.
GAUGUCAUGUCACGUCAUGUUUUGACGUUUGUAGUUUUUCAGAAGCGUACUUUUGCAAGCAAAUGCUAGUGAAACAAUGAGUGUUGGACAUUCAAGUGCUGCUUUCACGAAAAAUCGUGUUUUGCGUGUGGCAACAUCGGCGAGUGCAAAAAAUAGACCAUUUGAACGACUUUGAGACUGAACUUGUACCAAAUUUAUAAUUUACAAAUUUUGCAGGUUUAAAAAAAACAAUUUGAACACAUGAACCAGUAUUAUGGGGAUUAAGGAACGAAGCCAAUAAAUGUUCGCUUCAUAUGUGCAUAAUUCAUCACUUAUUAGCUGCAAAACAGCCAGUCCAAAAGCGAAAUAAAUCAAAAACGAUUUCGAAAUGCCGACAUUGGUUUAUGGAUGGCAAGGUAGCAUCCAUCUCGUAUCUCCUUAAGGUGUGGUGCCGGUACGGUUCCCAUCGAUGUACCCAAAUGGGUUCUUUGUUGUUAUGUUAAUCAGAUCGCAAUGGAAUGACUAAUUAUACUACUGGUCAAGAGUUUGAUUUCGGCUGAGCCAGUGGCGCCGCAUAACACAAAUUGGCCAGAACCCAGAUUUUCUAAGCAAACGAGAGUUUUGUGAUAAAAACCUAUUAACUAUCAAAGGGAAAUUGAAAAAAGUUGUGCGGCUCUUGGGUGAAACUGGUGGUGCUUUUCAGGCUUUCAGUCCUAAAAAAUCUCCAAUUGCUCAAAGAGGAUCUCCACAAGCAAAGCGACUUCUAUCUAAAUGAACGUGAAAUAAGUC